This is a long non-coding RNA of Salvia splendens (bonfire salvia), 1639 nucleotides long. RefSeq lists it as uncharacterized. Lineage: Eukaryota; Viridiplantae; Streptophyta; Magnoliopsida; Lamiales; Lamiaceae. The transcript has 2 exons. The record is from RefSeq and is a predicted model, not a curated record.
AAAUAAUUAAAUUUGAAAUCGAACCUCACAUUCACUAUGCACUGCAGCCCCAAUUUGUUUAUAAGUGCUCGAAUUCAUGUUUACAUAGUCCAAACUUCCAUUCAAUUAAUUUGUCUCAUCUCAAAACAAUUUGUAAACUUUGUGUAGUCCAGCUUCUAACUUGAAGAAGGAAACGGACUCUCCCUAUCUCAAGUCAUCCCCAAAAGGUUAAUAUUGAUUUCACUAAACUUAGUGUGAUUCGAAAUAUUCCACUAGUCUAAUAUAUUUGCUAUUACACAUGUGAGACAAAUCAUUAUCGGGCCAAAGAAUUAACAUUUUAGAGCCCAAAACAAUAAUAAUCCCCAACCCAAAAUAAUUUGAAGGAGCCCAAGUCAAAAGUGAUAUAAGAAAAAGAUAAAACAUGGAAGUAUUCUCCCAUUCCCUACGCAAGUCUACUCCCUUCCUUCACUUUUCACUUUAACCCAAUAAAUAUUAUAGUAGGAGUACUAAAUAAUUAAACGAGAAAAUCAAAUACUCCCUUAACCCCCCUAUGCGUAUCUCUCUCUUCUCUCUCCCUCGCGUUUUUUUUUUCUUUUCUCCCCAAAACAGAACCCGCCGAUUUUCUCCGAUUCGCCGUGGUGCAAGAAUCGACGUUGCCGUCGACUCCGAUCUCUCUCUCUCGAUUUCCACCGCCUCACAUCACCGCUGCUCCACCGCCCCAGCCCCCUUCUCUCCUGAAUCUGCCGCCGCCGUCCCUUCUUUCUCUCCAGCUUCGCCGCCGCUCCGUCGGACUCCCGAAAGGUUGUGAAAUUAGUGACGUAUCGGAGUGGGGGCUGUCCUUGGUUGUCUCCGGGCUGCCGAAGAGCCGUCGCCGGAAAUCCGGCAGAUUCAUGUUCAAGAUAAGAUUCUCAAUUUAUGCUUACCCUGGUUGUAGGACUUAGUUGUCUAUUUUAUAAAUUUGGUGAAUUCUGGACAAUUGUGUGUCUUCUUGGAAGACUUAAUGGUGAAACAAGUAAUUCUUGGUGUUUAUUGUUAACAUUUGGGCAGAUUCUUCUUCCAACUACAUAUAUGCAUGCUUGUACAUAGAUGAAAGAAAAGAAAGGCUUGGUGUUUACCUUUUGAUGUGGCAGUUAAGUGUUGUUGGAUGGUAGUGUUUCACUCUACGAAUUGUGUGAAAUUCUUCUUCCUCAAACUCCUAUAUCCAUGUUGGCUUGGUGUGUACAGACAACUUAGGAUUACUUAGGAUUUGAGGGUGAUGUGUGUGUGAGGGAAAGAAAAAUGAUUGUAUACAAUACAAAAAAGGUGGCAUUGAAAGUGACGUGUAACAAGUUGGUGUAGCAAGUUGCAUGGUAUUCUUAUCUCUAAUUAUUCUCUUUUGUCAGAAGGGAUAUGAUUUGUCUGCCCUCAUUAAAUGAGGCAUUUAAUGUUUUGAAAAAAAAAAUCAUCCUCAUGAUCGGCCCUCUCUCCCCUUUUUUAUAUAUAUAUUAUUUGUUUAAUUUGGUGCAGGAAAAAAAAUUCAAUUCCAGUUCGGAGCUGUUCUCGUUGAUGUACCCGAUUUUCUUUAGAACAAAAGAUGUAUUAAAUUAAAUUUUUGUUGGACUUUUAUUGGAUGUAUCGGACAUUAAGAUUUUGAUUAUGGGACUUUAUUUAUUUACUUAAA